RNAcentral lists this long non-coding RNA (210 nucleotides) under Mytilus galloprovincialis (Mediterranean mussel). The record is from RNAcentral. Lineage: Eukaryota; Metazoa; Mollusca; Bivalvia; Mytilida; Mytilidae.
GACAAAAACAAAAUAAAUUAAAAUUCCGCGAAAUUCCAGUAAUGAUUUUGGCGCAUUAACGUCAUUUCAAAACAUGACGUCAUACGUAUGAAAACGUCAAAGCUGAAGGUUUUUCUAUUGCGUUUACCUUCUAAACUCGGAUACAAUUGCAUUAAAAUAAAUUAUUGAGGUAGGUGUUGCUUGUUUUCUGUUCUAUUGCAUUAUUCGCAC